GUUCGAGCUCGCACCUCCCCUUGGGGGUGGGUGCCAGCUGAGCCUUUCUGGGUGAAUACGUGCGUACUUCAAUGUAUGGCGAAUUCAGCCCGGACUUUUACUUUGAGGAAAUAGAGUGUUUCAGGCAGGCAAACGCCUUGAAUACAUUAGCAUGGAAUAAUAAGAUAAGACUUUGGUCUUUUUUGUUGGUUCAUUGAUCGAAGUAAUGAUUAAUAGGGAUAGUUGGGGGCAUUCGUAUUUAACUGUCAGAGGUGAAAUUCUUGGAUU
RNAcentral lists this ribosomal RNA (267 nucleotides) under uncultured marine eukaryote. Its description in RNAcentral is "partial 18S ribosomal RNA". The stretch from base 89 to 267 matches the Rfam family "Eukaryotic small subunit ribosomal RNA", at positions 743 to 926 of the family's 1831-position model. The record is from RNAcentral.